UGCCCAUAUUUGGGCAUACGGUCAGGACAAAUCAAAUUAAAUUGUAUUUGUCACAUACACAUGGUUAGCAGAUGUUAAUGUGAGUGUAGCGAAAUGCUUGUGCUUCUAGUUCCGACUAUACAGUAAUAACUAACAUCCCGUUCCUGGUGGGAAGGGAUCAUGCGGUUAUGCCCUUAUAUGGGCAUCCUUUUCCUCACGCCUUAGAGCGAGUGCUAUGGAGUUUCCUUCUCUGACCACCACCACGUAUUAUUUGCACUACAAGCUCGAGGUUCCUAUCGGCUCUGACGGAAACAUUUGACUGAACAAGUCAAGGGCCAUAAAUUGUUCCAGAUCUGCUUCAUCAUUGGGUAAAAUAAGAGAUACCGUGCUAUGCAUGUCUCCACAAUAAGAGAUACCGUGCUAUGCAUGUCUCCACAAAUUUCCAACUGUAAGACAUCAUGUGGUUCGCCAUAAUCUCUAGCCCUGUCUAACAGUUCGUUCAAAGUGUCCAAAAUCAUCACAGCACAGUCAAUAUUCUGAUUCACCCAUGCGAAAUUGAAAAACUGUUGAAUCUCUGUAUUGUUGAAUUGAUUUCGGUACACAACACGUACACUUCUAUCAAGACUGUACUCCUCCUGAUUUGUUAGACAAUUUUCCAACUGCUCAAAAACAUCAUAUUGCAUUUCAGACUAUUCAGACAUGGCUUAGAGGUGUUGCAGCAUUAGACCUUUGGCUCUCGUUCAUCUGGGUAAUAUGAGGGCUUCGGGAAUCUGUGAUAACAGGUUUUCAUCGGACAGCCCUGACUCAUUCAUACGAUUAAUCAUUUCUAUGAGUUUGGGGAAUCUGUGAUAAUAUGUUUUCAUCUAUCGCCAUUAUGUCUGUUACCCCCGCAUCAUAUGGCUUGGAGUUCUGGCGGUAUCUGGGAUAAGAGGUUUUCAACUGUCUCCUAGGUCUAUUGGAUCCGCCAUUUGGAUUAUUAAGGAUGUGUUGUGUUAUUCUGGAAGGAUCCGUGUUACAUAUAUGCUUUUAACGCCUGUAUUUGCGCUGUUUAAUCUGAUUGUUGUUUAACCUACGUGGAAUCGCUCUCCGACAGAAUGAUAUAUCCUGGCGGUUUUGACGCUCCAGUAAAACAUCCGUCUGUGGAGCAAAACACUUCUGGAUUUUCAACCCUUUGAAAAGGCCUGUUCUAUUUCAGAACCGUCUGUUGCCUCCACAGAAUCAGAAUCAAGAAGGUUGGCCGCUUCACAUCACAUCAAAUCGUCUACCUCGGAAAUGUCAUAUAAAACGUUGAAAUCAUCCGGUUUCGUUGUUUUAUUGGUGAAAUACUCUGCUCUCUGUGUGUGGUCUUCUGUGCCGUUAUACACCAGAGAGGAGUCUGAAGUAAAAUAAUAUUUACAAAAUAGGUUAUUAACCCUAAAAUAUGUUAGAUAACAAAUGUCAAAUACAUUUCAGAUAUAAUCCUAUAUAUUAACAUAAAUAAAAUACCUCUGCUUUUUUAACGAGGGCUGUUGAAACCGAAGGAGGUUGUCUUUUGUCAUCAAGAAUGACCGAUUCUGCCUGGCCUGUAGCGCUGGAGCCUGAAAAAACAUUAUUUGUCCUUGUUUUAACAUGUUCAAGCCUAAAAAUGUAUAAAUAAUGAAAUAUGUCUAAAUAAUAAUAUAUAUAUAAUGGCUUCAUACCAUGUCCAUGGAGCACCGUGUCGUGAAGCCGUAAGUUCCCUAUCAGGGAGUACUUUUCUGGUUGGUUCUGAGCAAUGUAUUCAUGUGUCACACCCUGGCCUUAGUAUUCUGUGUUUUCUGGUUGGUUCUGAGCAAUGUAUUCAUGUGUCACACCCUGGCCUUAGUAUUCUGUGUUUUCUGGUUGGUUCUGAGCAAUGUAUUCAUGUGUCACACCCUGGCCUUAGUAUUCUGUGUUCUCUUUAUUAUUUUGGUCAGGCCAGGGUGUGACAUGGGUGAUUAUGUGUUUCCUUGUCUAGGGGUUUUUAUAGAUUGAUGGGGUUGUGUUCAGUUGAGUGUUCUAGGUACGUCUAUGGUUGCCUAGAGUGGUUCUCAAUCAGAGGCAGGUGUUUAUCGUUGUCUCUGAUUUAUAUGUAUAUUAUAUGUAUAUUAUAUGUAUAUUAUAUGUAUA
Oncorhynchus tshawytscha (Chinook salmon) is the source of this 2106-nucleotide long non-coding RNA. The record is from Ensembl. NCBI's taxonomy places the organism in Eukaryota, Metazoa, Chordata, Actinopteri, Salmoniformes, Salmonidae.